RNAcentral lists this ribosomal RNA (372 nucleotides) under uncultured organism. RNAcentral describes it as "partial 16S ribosomal RNA". It matches the Rfam family "Bacterial small subunit ribosomal RNA", at positions 527 to 896 of the family's 1533-position model. The record is from RNAcentral.
GUAGGGGGCAAGCGUUGUCCGGAAUUAUUGGGCGUAAAGCGCGCGCAGGCGGUCUCUUAAGUCCGAUGUGAAAGCCCACGGCUCAACCGUGGAGGGUCAUUGGAAACUGGGGGACUUGAGUGUAGGAGAGGAAAGUGGAAUUCCAUGUGUAGCGGUGAAAUGCGUAGAUAUGUGGAGGAACACCAGUGGCGAAGGCGACUUUCUGGCCUACAACUGACGCUGAGGUGCGAAAGCGUGGGGAGCAAACAGGGAUUAGAUACCCUGGUAGUCCACGCCGUAAACGAUGAGUGCUAGGUGUUAGGGGUUUCGAUGCCCUUAGUGCCGAAGUUAACACAUUAAGCACUCCGCCUGGGGAGUACGACCGCAAGGUUG